This 490-nucleotide ribosomal RNA is filed under the name uncultured bacterium. RNAcentral's name for it is "partial 16S ribosomal RNA". It matches the Rfam family "Bacterial small subunit ribosomal RNA", at positions 30 to 507 of the family's 1533-position model. The record is from RNAcentral.
AUUGAACGCUGGCGGCAGGCCUAACACAUGCAAGUCGAACGGUAACAGGAAGAAGCUUGCUUCUUUGCUGACGAGUGGCGGACGGGUGAGUAAUGUCUGGGAAACUGCCUGAUGGAGGGGGAUAACUACUGGAAACGGUAGCUAAUACCGCAUAACGUCGCAAGACCAAAGAGGGGGACCUUCGGGCCUCUUGCCAUCGGAUGUGCCCAGAUGGGAUUAGCUAGUAGGUGGGGUAACGGCUCACCUAGGCGACGAUCCCUAGCUGGUCUGAGAGGAUGACCAGCCACACUGGGACUGAGACACGGUCCAGACUCCUACGGGAGGCAGCAGUGGGGAAUAUUGCACAAUGGGCGCAAGCCUGAUGCAGCCAUGCCGCGUGUAUGAAGAAGGCCUUCGGGUUGUAAAGUACUUUCAGCGGGGAGGAAGGGAGUAAAGUUAAUACCUUUGCUCAUUGACGUUACCCGCAGAAGAAGCACCGGCUAACUCCGUG